GAGUUUGAUCAUGGCUCAGAUUGAACGCUGGCGGCAGGCCUAACACAUGCAAGUCGAACGGUAACAGGGAGCAGCUUGCUGCUCUGCUGACGAGUGGCGGACGGGUGAGUAAUGUCUGGGAAACUGCCUGAUGAGGGGGAUAACUACUGGAAACGGUAGCUAAUACCGCAUAACGUCUACGGACCAAAGUGGGGGACCUUCGGGCCUCAUGCCAUCAGAUGUGCCCAGAUGGGAUUAGCUAGUAGGUGGGGUAACGGCUCACCUAGGCGACGAUCCCUAGCUGGUCUGAGAGGAUGACCAGCCACACUGGAACUGAGACACGGUCCAGACUCCUACGGGAGGCAGCAGUGGGGAAUAUUGCACAAUGGGCGCAAGCCUGAUGCAGCCAUGCCGCGUGUAUGAAGAAGGCCUUCGGGUUGUAAAGUACUUUCAGCGGGGAGGAAGGUGCUGUGGUUAAUAACCACAGCAAUUGACGUUACCCGCAGAAGAAGCACCGGCUAACUCCGUGCCAGCAGCCGCGGUAAUACGGAGGGUGCAAGCGUUAAUCGGAAUUACUGGGCGUAAAGCGCACGCAGGCGGUUGAUUAAGUCAGAUGUGAAAUCCCCGGGCUCAACCUGGGAACUGCAUUUGAAACUGGUCAGCUUGAGUCUCGUAGAGGGGGGUAGAAUUCCAGGUGUAGCGGUGAAAUGCGUAGAGAUCUGGAGGAAUACCGGUGGCGAAGGCGGCCCCCUGGACGAAGACUGACGCUCAGGUGCGAAAGCGUGGGGAGCAAAACAGGAUUAGAUACCCUGGUAGUCCACGCCGUAAACGAUGUCGACUUGGAGGUUGUGCCCUUGAGGCGUGGCUUCCGGAGCUAACGCGUUAAAGUCGACCGCCUGGGGAGUACGGCCGCAAGGUUAAAACUCAAAUGAAUUGACG
This 918-nucleotide ribosomal RNA is filed under the name Cronobacter sakazakii E899. Its description in RNAcentral is "bacterial SSU rRNA". It matches the Rfam family "Bacterial small subunit ribosomal RNA", at positions 9 to 915 of the family's 1533-position model. Lineage: Bacteria; Pseudomonadati; Pseudomonadota; Gammaproteobacteria; Enterobacterales; Enterobacteriaceae. The record is from RNAcentral.